UUUAUUUCAAUUAAUUUCAAUUAACACAGAGAAGAAUUAAAAAAGGGAAGAGGAUUAGGGUUUACGUGUGACCCUUGGACCUGUUGUUCUCAGACUCUCUCCUGCUCCUCAUGGACGAACGGCGUGACGGUCGGAACAGCCUCCCUCUCCGGUGAGGUUUCAAUCGACGCCGUAAACCACCCGAAUCUCAUCAUCGGACCUGACACUCUCAUCUCUCUCCUCACGCAUCAGACGCAGCGGAGCAAAUGGAGAGCUCCACCUUCUCCGAUGAAGAGCAAAUCUCCGGCCACCAUCACUUUCGAAUCAAGUCCCUCACCCUCUCCGUCUCAAACUCAAACUCUCUUGUCUCUCAAUCAAACUCUCCGUCUCAAACUCGAACUCUCUCGAUCUCUUAUGUUAAGUUUUUUAUCCUUCUGAGUUGUUGUUCGUGAUUGUGGUGUGAUAUAUCGUUAUUCAAGCAGGUUGAAGAUUGAUGGAAGGUGUAAAGAAUCGCAAAUGAAUUUGAUUGAAUAAGCGAGUUUCUGGAGAUUGAAGGUUCAUCGAUGAGGAUGGACGGGACAAAGGUUAGACUCGGUGAUUGACGAAGGAUGAUGGAUGGAUCGUGAAUUGUUGCUGCAGAUGCAGAUUAGUUUUCUGCAGGUUCUUGGAUGAAGAACCGAAUUGAAGUUUGAAGAAGGAACUGAAUGAAUCUAACGUGAGUUUUCUGUUUAGUGUCGAGUUGAAUGUUAUGAGGAAGAUGAAUGAAGAUGAAGAUGCCAUAGAUACAGAGAUGAUGAAGAUGAUGAUGAUGAUGAAGGUUAUCGAGGUCGAAGAAGAAUAGAGAAGGUUUUACGAUUCAGUUAUGGUGAUUCCGAUGGAAAAGAGAGAGAGAAUUCGGGAAGAAGCUUGAGAGAGAGGUCCUCGAGUUUGUUACCAGGUAGUGAUGAAUGAAGAGCAAUGGUGAAGUUUUCUGUCAUGAGGUCAAGAUUGAAGGUGGAGGUAGCGUGAAGAUUGAAAAUGGAGGUUUUCUGAACUCAAAGAAGUGAAGAAGAUGAUUCUUGCCUGAAGGUUGUUACGUUAUGACGGUCUUUUUUCUAUUUGUUAUACUGAGCCUUGUAUUGGUUAAUUGUCCGGUUCAGGUUUUUUUUUAGUCCGCUGCAAGUUUCGGUUUACUUGGUCCAUGGCAGUUUGAUGCAAGUUUGGAUGAUUCACCUUUGUGUAGAGGUUGCAAGUUUGAAAACAAAGGCCAAGGUGCACAUUGGGAUUGAAGACGGAAUUUUAUUGAAGAUGUGAAGUCAAGCAAGCUUGGGCAUGAAUUUUAUUUGAGUGGCAAUGUGAAGCUUAGCGAAUGUAUGCUCCAAGAUAUUUUGAUGUAUUCUUUUUCUCUUUUUUUUUUGUAGUGUCUCAACAUGAAAGGGAAUAAUCUACCGUGUAACUUGUAACCUUUUAACAAAACGAUGGUGUUUGUAAGAUUUAACUUGGACAUUUGAAUGAAAACUCCCUUGACUUGAAUAUAA
Vicia villosa (hairy vetch) is the source of this 1496-nucleotide long non-coding RNA. RefSeq lists it as uncharacterized. The record is from RefSeq and is a predicted model, not a curated record. NCBI's taxonomy places the organism in Eukaryota, Viridiplantae, Streptophyta, Magnoliopsida, Fabales, Fabaceae. The transcript has 4 exons.